RNAcentral lists this ribosomal RNA (215 nucleotides) under Meleagris gallopavo (turkey). RNAcentral's name for it is "partial 16S ribosomal RNA". Lineage: Eukaryota; Metazoa; Chordata; Aves; Galliformes; Phasianidae. The record is from RNAcentral.
UGUGGAACUUAAAAAUAACGACCACCCUUCCACCAACAACACCCACUGGACCCACCCACAUAAAACGCCUGGUCGACAUUUUUUGGUUGGGGCGACCUUGGAGAAAAACAAAUCCUCCAAACCCAUAGAUCACAAUUCUUCACCAAGACCAACGCAUCAAAGUACUAAUAGUAAUUUAGACCCAAUACAAUUGAUUAAUGAACCAAGCUACCCCA